This 408-nucleotide ribosomal RNA is filed under the name uncultured bacterium. RNAcentral's name for it is "bacterial SSU rRNA". It matches the Rfam family "Bacterial small subunit ribosomal RNA", at positions 29 to 426 of the family's 1533-position model. The record is from RNAcentral.
AGCGAACGUUAGCGGCGCGCCUAACACAUGCAAGUCGCACGAGAAAGGGAGCAAUCCCCGGUACAGUGGCGCACGGGUGAGUAACACGUAGAUGACCUUCCCUGGAGUGGUGGAUAACCUGCCGAAAGGCGGGCUAAUACAGCAUGGGACCACAUGGUUUUGACCGAGUGGUGAAAGCGGGCCUCUGUUCACAAGCUCGCGCUCUGGGAUGGGUCUGCGUCCCAUCAGCUAGUUGGUGAGGUAAUGGCUCACCAAGGCAUCGACGGGUAGCUGGUCUGAGAGGAUGACCAGCCACACUGGAACUGAGACACGGUCCAGACUCCUACGGGAGGCAGCAGUGGGGAAUCUUGCGCAAUGGGCGAAAGCCUGACGCAGCGACGCCGCGUGGGUGAUGAAGGCCUCGGUUGG